GAUGAACGCUGGCGGCGUGCCUAAUACAUGCAAGUCGAGCGAACGGACGUGAAGCUUGCUUCUCUGAUGUUAGCGGCGGACGGGUGAGUAACACGUGGAUAACCUACCUAUAAGACUGGGAUAACUUCGGGAAACCGGAGCUAAUACCGGAUAAUAUUUUGAACCGCAUGGUUCAAAAGUGAAAGACGGUCUUGCUGUCACUUAUAGAUGGAUCCGCGCUGCAUUAGCUAGUUGGUAAGGUAACGGCUUACCAAGGCAACGAUGCAUAGCCGACCUGAGAGGGUGAUCGGCCACACUGGAACUGAGACACGGUCCAGACUCCUACGGGAGGCAGCAGUAGGGAAUCUUCCGCAAUGGGCGAAAGCCUGACGGAGCAACGCCGCGUGAGUGAUGAAGGUCUUCGGAUCGUAAAACUCUGUUAUUAGGGAAGAACAUAUGUGUAAGUAACUGUGCACAUCUUGACGGUACCUAAUCAGAAAGCCACGGCUAACUACGUGCCAGCAGCCGCGGUAAUACGUAGGUGGCAAGCGUUAUCCGGAAUUAUUGGGCGUAAAGCGCGCGUAGGCGGUUUUUUAAGUCUGAUGUGAAAGCCCACGGCUCAACCGUGGAGGGUCAUUGGAAACUGGAAAACUUGAGUGCAGAAGAGGAAAGUGGAAUUCCAUGUGUAGCGGUGAAAUGCGCAGAGAUAUGGAGGAACACCAGUGGCGAAGGCGACUUUCUGGUCUGUAACUGACGCUGAUGUGCGAAAGCGUGGGGAUCAAACAGGAUUAGAUACCCUGGUAGUCCACGCCGUAAACGAUGAGUGCUAAGUGUUAGGGGGUUUCCGCCCCUUAGUGCUGCAGCUAACGCAUUAAGCACUCCGCCUGGGGAGUACGACCGCAAGGUUGAAACUCAAAGGAAUUGACGGGGACCCGCACAAGCGGUGGAGCAUGUGGUUUAAUUCGAAGCAACGCGAAGAACCUUACCAAAUCUUGACAUCCUUUGACAACUCUAGAGAUAGAGCUUUCCCCUUCGGGGGACAAAGUGACAGGUGGUGCAUGGUUGUCGUCAGCUCGUGUCGUGAGAUGUUGGGUUAAGUCCCGCAACGAGCGCAACCCUUAAGCUUAGUUGCCAUCAUUAAGUUGGGCACUCUAAGUUGACUGCCGGUGACAAACCGGAGGAAGGUGGGGAUGACGUCAAAUCAUCAUGCCCCUUAUGAUUUGGGCUACACACGUGCUACAAUGGACAAUACAAAGGGCAGCGAAACCGUGAGGUCAAGCAAAUCCCAUAAAGUUGUUCUCAGUUCGGAUUGUAGUCUGCAACUCGACUACAUGAAGCUGGAAUCGCUAGUAAUCGUAGAUCAGCAUGCUACGGUGAAUACGUUCCCGGGUCU
Molecule: ribosomal RNA, 1372 nt
Filed under: uncultured bacterium
Lineage: Bacteria
Description: bacterial SSU rRNA
Rfam family: Bacterial small subunit ribosomal RNA
Source: RNAcentral